RNAcentral lists this ribosomal RNA (492 nucleotides) under uncultured bacterium. RNAcentral's name for it is "partial 16S ribosomal RNA". It matches the Rfam family "Bacterial small subunit ribosomal RNA", at positions 29 to 507 of the family's 1533-position model. The record is from RNAcentral.
AGUGAACGCUGGCGGUAGGCCUAACACAUGCAAGUCGAACGGCAGCACAGUAAGAGCUUGCUCUUACGGGUGGCGAGUGGCGGACGGGUGAGGUAUACAUCGGAAUCUACUUUUUCGUGAGGGAUAACGUAGGGAAACUUACGCUAAUACCGCAUACGACCUACGGGUGAAAGCAGGGGAUCUUCGGACCUUGCGCGAUUGAAUGAGCCGAUGUCGGAUUAGCUAGUUGGCGGGGUAAAGGCCCACCAAGGCGACGAUCCGUAGCUGGUCUGAGAGGAUGAUCAGCCACACUGGAACUGAGACACGGUCCAGACUCCUACGGGAGGCAGCAGUGGGGAAUAUUGGACAAUGGGCGCAAGCCUGAUCCAGCCAUACCGCGUGGGUGAAGAAGGCCUUCGGGUUGUAAAGCCCUUUUGUUGGGAAAGAAAAGCAGCAGGUUAAUACCCCGCUGUUCUGACGGUACCCAAAGAAUAAGCACCGGCUAACUUCGUG